CUACGGGGGGCACCAGUGGGGAAUAUUGGACAAUGGGGGAAACCCUGAUCCAGCAAUGCCGCGUGUGUGAAGAAGGCCUGCGGGUUGUAAAGCACUUUCGGUUGGGAGGACUGCUUCUAGCACUAAUAUUGUUGGAAGUUGACGUUACCUUCAGAAGAAGCACCGGCUAGACUCCGUGCCAGCAGCCGCGGUAAUACGGGGGGUGCAAGCGUUAAUCGGAAUUACUGGGCGUAAAGCGCGCGUAGGCGGCUAGAUCAGUCGGUUGUGAAAGCCCCGGGCUUAACCUGGGAACUGCAUCCGAUACUGUCUAGCUUGAGUACAGGAGAGGAGAGUGGAAUUCCACAUGUAGCGGUGAAAUGCGUAGAUAUGUGGAGGAACACCAAUGGCGAAGGCAGCUCUCUGGCCUGAUACUGACGCUGAGGUGCGAAAGCGUGGGGAGCAAACAGGAUUAGAUACCCCCGUAGUC
RNAcentral lists this ribosomal RNA (466 nucleotides) under uncultured bacterium. RNAcentral describes it as "partial 16S ribosomal RNA". It matches the Rfam family "Bacterial small subunit ribosomal RNA", at positions 339 to 795 of the family's 1533-position model. The record is from RNAcentral.